GAGGUACCGUCAAACUUACGGAUUAUUUACCCGCAAGCAUUCUUCCCUCUCGACAGAAGUUUACGACCCUAGGGCCUUCAUCCUUCACGCGGCGUUGCUGGGUCAGGCUUUCGCCCAUUGCCCAAUAUUCCCG
This 133-nucleotide ribosomal RNA is filed under the name uncultured bacterium. RNAcentral's name for it is "partial 16S ribosomal RNA". The record is from RNAcentral.